RNAcentral lists this transfer RNA (73 nucleotides) under Solanum tuberosum (potato). It matches the Rfam family "tRNA". Rfam says of the family: Transfer RNA (tRNA) molecules are approximately 80 nucleotides in length. The record is from Rfam by way of RNAcentral. Lineage: Eukaryota; Viridiplantae; Streptophyta; Magnoliopsida; Solanales; Solanaceae.
GCGCCUGUAGCUCAGCGGAUAGAGUGUUUCUUUCCUAAGCAGAAACUCAUAGGUUCGACCCCUACUUGGCGUG